Molecule: transfer RNA, 71 nt
Filed under: Loxodonta africana (African savanna elephant)
Lineage: Eukaryota; Metazoa; Chordata; Mammalia; Proboscidea; Elephantidae
Rfam family: tRNA
About the family: Transfer RNA (tRNA) molecules are approximately 80 nucleotides in length. Their secondary structure includes four short double-helical elements and three loops (D, anti-codon, and T loops).
Source: Rfam by way of RNAcentral
GCAGCCAUGGUUCAGUGGUAGAAUUCUUGCCUUCCAUGCAGGAGAACCAGGUUCAGUUCCCAGUCAAUGCA